This 460-nucleotide ribosomal RNA is filed under the name uncultured bacterium. RNAcentral describes it as "partial 16S ribosomal RNA". It matches the Rfam family "Bacterial small subunit ribosomal RNA", at positions 338 to 795 of the family's 1533-position model. The record is from RNAcentral.
CCUACGGGAGGCAGCAGUGAGGAAUAUUGGUCAAUGGCCGAGAGUCUGAACCAGCCAAGUCGCGUGAGGGAAGACGGCCCUCUGGGUUGUAAACCUCUUUUGUAGGGGAGUAAAUUGAUCCACGUGUGGGUUCUUGUGUGUACCCUAUCAAAAAGGAUCGGCUAACUCCGUGCCAGCAGCCGCGGUAAUACGGGGGAUCCGAGCGUUAUCCGGUUUUAUUGGGGUUAAAGGGAGCGGAGGGGGAGUGUUAUGUCAGGUGUGAAAUUGCGGGGUUUAACCUUAGUAGUGCAGUUGAAACUGGAAGACUUGAGUGCAGGAGAGGUGGGCGGAAUGCGUGGUGUAGCGGUGAAAUGCGUAGAUAUCACGAAGAACUCCGAUUGCGAAGGCAGCUCACUGGACUGCAACUGACGCUGAGGCUCGAAAGCGUGGGUAGCAAACAGGAUUAGAUACCCGUGUAGUC